Molecule: transfer RNA, 74 nt
Filed under: Thermovirgaceae bacterium
Lineage: Bacteria; Thermotogati; Synergistota; Synergistia; Synergistales; Thermovirgaceae
Description: tRNA-Ile
Rfam family: tRNA
About the family: Transfer RNA (tRNA) molecules are approximately 80 nucleotides in length. Their secondary structure includes four short double-helical elements and three loops (D, anti-codon, and T loops). Further hydrogen bonds mediate the characteristic L-shaped molecular structure. tRNAs have two regions of fundamental functional importance: the anti-codon, which is responsible for specific mRNA codon recognition, and the 3' end, to which the tRNAs corresponding amino acid is attached (by aminoacyl-tRNA synthetases). tRNAs cope with the degeneracy of the genetic code in two manners: having more than one tRNA (with a specific anti-codon) for a particular amino acid; and 'wobble' base-pairing, i.e. permitting non-standard base-pairing at the 3rd anti-codon position.
Source: RNAcentral
GGGCCUGUAGCUCAGCCGGUUAGAGCGUUCCUCUGAUAAGGGAGAGGCCGAUGGUUCGAGUCCAUCCAGGCCCA